Molecule: ribosomal RNA, 234 nt
Filed under: uncultured bacterium
Lineage: Bacteria
Description: partial 16S ribosomal RNA
Rfam family: Bacterial small subunit ribosomal RNA
Source: RNAcentral
CCGGCGCACGGGUGAGUAAUGUCUGGGAAACUGCCCGAUGGAGGGGGAUAACUACUGGAAACGGUAGCUAAUACCGCAUAACGUCGCAAGACCAAGAGGGGACCUUCGGGCCUCUUGCCAUCGGAUGUGCCCAGAUGGGAUUAGCUAGUAGGUGGGGUAACGGCUCACCUAGGCGACGAUCCCUAGCUGGUCUGAGAGGAUGACCAGCCACACUGGAACUGAGACACGGUCCAG